UUGGGUGGUGUAGCUGGUCUAGUUCAUCUAUGGCUUCCCCCAAACUAUAGCUUCAUAAGUUUUUUUCUCACAACCAUCAUUCGCUACCCUUUCAAUUUAAUACAUUGUACCUGCAACCAUCUGCUCCAGAAAUGAAUUCCACAGACCUCAAAACCAUGAAUUUCACCCCAAACUUGAAACCUUAAAAUCAUAAAUACAAAGAUACGGUACCUUCAUGAUGGCAAAUUGAAGAAACUUGUCGAUAUCAUUCUGUUCUGAAGUUAACUCCCUUGGGGUCGCCAUCGUCACAAAAAAUAGGUUAAAAGAAAACAACGAAAAUCGAUCUAACUGUGAAAGACACAUGUAAUUGAAGCAAUGAUUACCAGAAUUCUUGCCAGAGUUAAACAGAGACCAGUCACAACCGUAGCUCUCGCCACCUCCAUCUUGUUACUGUAAGCAUACCCACCAGCUGAACAGCCAAUUUAGACCACCAAAUCAACAACAAUUCCAAUGAUUCUAUUUAAUGAACACUCAAAUGUGAAAAAAUUAAGCUAAAGUACCUAUUGGAGCCCUAAUAUUCUGACGAAAACCAUCGCCUGGUCUGUGGUGUGAUGUCGCCGACUUCGAUUUGGGCAGAACGACAACGUCGGUGAUAGGGCAGUUGACGACAACAACAGGGCGACUUAUAGACGUGUUGAUGGCGGAGGACGGCGACAAGGGUCUGACGACUAUGAGGGAUCUUAUUGCGGACGCUCUACGGUUCUACUCUAAGGUUUAGAUCCGGAUGAAAAGUCGAUCCAGUUAGGUUCAAGGAAUUUUUUCCUUUGUCCUAAGCGAACUGCGAACGCCACAUCAUCAUCUACUUGCUCGGAGGAAGCAGAAAAUUUGACGAAAUUUAAUGCGCAUUGGCUUCGAUUCAUGAACUUUUCCUUUGUCCUAAGCGAACUGCGAACGCGACAUCAUCAUCUACCUGUUCGGAGGAAGCAGAAAAUUUGACGAAAUUAGCUUAGAAAGUUUAGAUCCGGAUGAAAAGUUGAUCCAGUUAGGUUCAAGGAAUUUUUUCCUUUGUCCUAAGCGAACUGCGAACGCGACAUCAUCAUCUACUUGCUCGGAGGAAGCAGAAAAUUUGACGAAAUUUAAUGCGCAUUGGCUUCGAUUUAUGAACUUUUCGCAGUAAGAAUAUUUGAUAUUAUAUUAUAUGUUAGGCGAAUUAAUAUGCCCAUACCAAUUUCAAGUUGUUGUCAAGUUAAGAACGAUCGACUAUUAGUAUUGUAUAGUGGCAAAGAUGU
RNAcentral lists this long non-coding RNA (1268 nucleotides) under Helianthus annuus (common sunflower). Its description in RNAcentral is "hypothetical non coding rna". The record is from RNAcentral. Lineage: Eukaryota; Viridiplantae; Streptophyta; Magnoliopsida; Asterales; Asteraceae.